This 47-nucleotide transfer RNA is filed under the name Echinococcus granulosus. RNAcentral describes it as "partial tRNA-His". Lineage: Eukaryota; Metazoa; Platyhelminthes; Cestoda; Cyclophyllidea; Taeniidae. The record is from RNAcentral.
AAACUGGCAGAUUGUGGUUUUGUUGAAUACUGGUUUGUAUUAGUAAU